UAUAUAUUCCCUCCGUCUCAAAAUUUUUGUCUUAAAUUUAUCUAGAUACGAAUAUAUCUAACACUAAAAUAUGAAUAGAUACAACUGUAUAUAGAAAAAUUGAAGACAAGAAUUUUGAGACGGAGGGAGUAGAUG
This is a non-coding RNA of Triticum urartu, 135 nucleotides long. NCBI's taxonomy places the organism in Eukaryota, Viridiplantae, Streptophyta, Magnoliopsida, Poales, Poaceae. The record is from Rfam.